CAAUGCCGCGUGUGUGAAGAAGGCCUUCGGGUUGUAAAGCACUUUCGGUGGGGACAAACAAGGCGGAGCUAACAUCUCCGUCCCUGAUGGUACCCAAAGAAGAAGCACCGGCUAACUCUGUGCCAGCAGCCGCGGUAAUACAGAGGGUGCAAGCGUUAAUCGGAAUUACUGGGCGUAAAGCGUGCGUAGGUGGUUUGUUAAGUCAGGUGUGAAAUCCUCGGGCUCAACCCGGGAACUGCGCUUGAUACUGACAGACUCGAGUGUGGUAGAGGAUAGUGGAAUUCCCGGUGUAGCGGUGAAAUGCGUAGAUAUCGGGAGGAACAUCAGUGGCGAAGGCGGCUAUCUGGACCAACACUGACACUGAGGUACGAAAGCGUGGGUAGCAAACAGGAUUAGAUACCCUGGUAGUCCACGCCCUAAACGAUGGGUACUAGACGUCGGGAAGCUUGUCUUCUUGGUGUCGCAGCUAACGCAAUAAGUACCCCGCCUGGGGAGUACGGUCGCAAGAUUA
RNAcentral lists this ribosomal RNA (511 nucleotides) under uncultured Pseudomonadota bacterium. Its description in RNAcentral is "bacterial SSU rRNA". It matches the Rfam family "Bacterial small subunit ribosomal RNA", at positions 392 to 896 of the family's 1533-position model. The record is from RNAcentral. Lineage: Bacteria; Pseudomonadati; Pseudomonadota.